Molecule: long non-coding RNA, 906 nt
Filed under: Panax ginseng (ginseng)
Lineage: Eukaryota; Viridiplantae; Streptophyta; Magnoliopsida; Apiales; Araliaceae
Description: long non-coding RNA (PGIN_LNC001851)
Source: RNAcentral
UUGUGUAAGCUAAUUUCCUAGGUAGUUUGAUUUGAUUUUUGACAACUUGAAGUUGUGAUCUUGAGGUUUAAAACCUUAGAUCUAUGUAUAUAUAAGUGUUUCAUGUUUAGAUCUAACAAUAUUGGGUGUUGAUUUUUGGUUGGAAUCAAAGGUAUAAAAUUUCCUAAACUCAAAACUCUAGUUAGUUUAUGUGUUUUGUGAUGGUUGUUUUAGACCAAGUGUUGAACUUAUGAUCCAUAUGAGGGAAGAUCUACAUGAUAUAUGCUAUUUUAUGGUUAGAUCUUGCCAUUUUUAGGGUUGAUAAGCUUGAACAAAGAAGAAGAACCAAAACAGUUUUUUUGUUUUAAAUGAAUUGGUGGACUGCUGCUCUAAACAGAAAAUUCCGGAUUUAUUAGGGUGCUCUAAAAAUUCUGGACUUGUGAUAUGUUAUAGUACACUCAAUAAGCUUUCCAUAGACUCCGAAACGGACUAAAUCUGAUAUCGGAGGAGCAAGUUAUGGGAUUUCUACCAAACUGCACAAAGUUAAGAAAAACUGUUAGAAGGACAGUUUUUACCAGUCACUUCCGGGCUAAAUUCCGGGAGUUUAACAUGUCCAAAUAUGGAUUGUGAUAUAUGAAAACUGUAGUUUGGAAAGAUACAAAUCUAAUAAAAUUGACGGAUCAUUAAUCGGAGUUACAGAUUUCGUUUUAUAUAAGUUUUAGCAAAAGACUCCAAAACUGCCAAAUGACAAAAAGUUUCUGGCCAAACUUUUCCGAGGGCUGUUUUGGACAUUUAGUUAAUGAGAAAAAUUACAGGCUUUUGGGAAAUGAAAAUAUAUGGUAUUAAGUAGCUCGUGUCCAAAAAUGAGCUGAUUCCGAGUUAAAACGACCAAGUUAUGACCAUUACAAUUUUUGUGAUUUUCCGACG